UGCCCCAUGACUCAAUCACCAC
RNAcentral lists this non-coding RNA (22 nucleotides) under Arabidopsis thaliana (thale cress). Lineage: Eukaryota; Viridiplantae; Streptophyta; Magnoliopsida; Brassicales; Brassicaceae. The record is from RNAcentral.